Hirundo rustica (Barn swallow) is the source of this 407-nucleotide long non-coding RNA. RefSeq lists it as uncharacterized. The transcript is spliced from 4 exons. Lineage: Eukaryota; Metazoa; Chordata; Aves; Passeriformes; Hirundinidae. The record is from RefSeq and is a predicted model, not a curated record.
AUUGUGAUCAUCCACACGCAGCACUUCACUGCAGUCAGUGUCACAUCUCCAAAUUCAUCUCCUGGCAAUUAUAGUCAGAAACAAUAAGGUUUUCUACUGAAAGCAAAAGCUUGUUGAGACAACAGCAUGACAGAGGGAAGGCUGCCCUGUGGAAGGCUGCUCCCAUGAAAUUCUGGAAUAUCGUUUCACACAGUUAUCUAAUAAGACACACAGUCACUGAAUAUCAAGAACUCUUGGCAGUCCAAAGGAACUGAUCCUGGAGGCCUCCUUGUUCCCAUCAGUGAGGGACUUGGAGUCUGUCCAGUGCUGCUGUGAGCCCCAAUUCCACCCUGCUGCUGCCCACAGGAAUGUCUGCAGUUUCUCUGCAAUUAGACAGAGUUUGGAGGCACUUGGGACCAUUGGACAAG